Caretta caretta (loggerhead turtle) is the source of this 3745-nucleotide non-coding RNA. The record is from RefSeq and is a predicted model, not a curated record. Lineage: Eukaryota; Metazoa; Chordata; Testudines; Cheloniidae.
AGUCCGUGGGAGGGACGCGGCCGCUUGCCACCGGCUGCUGUUGACGUCGGCGCCCCCGGGCUCCCCGGGCUGGCAGCGAGCGGCGCGGCCCCAGAGACGCCCGCGGAUCUCUCGGCUUUAGGGCGCCGCCCAGACCUGAGCGGGCGGCCGCUCUUCCCUCCCAGCUCCUCUCUAUGGUCGCAGGUCCCAGUUCCCGCCGCCCACUCCCGUUCGUCACGUGGGCAGCGGUUUCCGGCGGGGACUCGCCGUGGCUGGAGCCGGGAGGUGGCGGACGCUCGCCGCGUGGGUCGAGCUUCAAAAUGACUAAAAAGAGGAAACACCAAGAGGAUUUCCAAAAGGUGAAGCUAAAAGUUGGAAAAAAGAAGCCUAGACUAGAAAAUGCAACUGAUACAAACUUCAAAACGAAGGCCAUACAUCUUCCUGAACAGCUUAAAGAGGAUGGAAUACUUCCCACGAACAAUAGAAAACUUAACAUAAAGGAUCUGCUUUCACAGAUGCAUCACUAUAGUGCCGGAGUUAAGCAAAGUGCUCUUCUUGGGCUCAAAGAACUGCUGUCCCAGUAUCCAUUUAUAAUUGAUGCACACCUUUCAAAUAUACUAAGUGAGGUGGCAGCUGUAUUUACAGACAAGGACUCUGGUGUCAGAGUAGCAGCAAUCCGGCUCCUUCAGUUCUUGGCUCCAAAAAUCCGAGCCGAGCAGAUUGCUCCAUUUUUUCCUUUGGUAAGUGCCCACCUCUCCAGUGCCAUGACUCAUAUCAGUGAAGGAAUUCAGGAGGAUUCUUUAAAGGUCUUGGACAUCUUGUUGGAAGAGUACCCAGUCCUCCUUACUAAUCGCUGUAGUAUAUUGCUGAAGAAUUUUGUAGAGCUUAUUUCUCACCAGCAGUUGUCAAAAAACCUGAAAAGUAGAGAGAAAAUAUCCUGGAUGCUGUCUGUUAACCCUAACCGCAGAGUAACUUCACAGCAAUGGAGGCUGAAUGUACUGAUCAGAUUCAAGAAGUUUCUCCAAGCAUUGGUAGAUGGUUCCAGUGGAUCAGAAGAAGAUGAAGAGAUCCAGGAGCAAAAGGAGAACUCCCAGUUCAUGAGGAACUCAGUAUGUAUAAGCUGGAAGGAGCAUGCCAGUAAUCAGCAGCACAUCCAGCUAUAUGAAAAUGGUGGGUCACAACCAAGGAUCAAUUCAGCAUUCAGACUAAGGUCCCUGGUAAGCGUGACAGACAGAGUGGAAAAAGGCCUGUCCUCUGCUGAAAAUUUAAAAGGGUUUAUUGAGAUAAUAAUUCCAAUAUUGAUUGAGUGCUGGAUUGAAGCGUCUCCUGCACAACUUGCUGCUCCCAUUCUUGGAAAUCUUUUGGAACCUGAAUCUCAACAGCUAAUGCAACAAGUGCUUAGUAUCAUAUACUUGCUGUGGAAACUCACAAAGCAACAUGACGAAACGCACAAAAUGGAGGCAUGGCUUCGAAUGAAUUACCUUGUUGAUUUCAAGCAUCACUUCAUGCGUCAUUUUCCUUAUUCUUUACAAGAAACAAUUAAGCACAAAAAGAGAGAUCCAUACAAAAGCACCAAGUACUGUAUGACAUCGUCAAACAGCGUAGACCAUCUUUUAUUGAAUUUAACCCUGUGUGACAUUAUGGUUUCACUGGCAAGUGCUUCAACACUUCAAAUGGAUUCUGACUGGCUGGGUAUGAUAAGAAAGUUUGUGACCGAAACCCUUCAGCAUGGCUGCAGAUUGAACUGCAAGCAGUUGAACAGAUUGCUUGGAGUGACAUGGAGACUAAUGCAAAUACAACGAAACAAAGUGGCAAUGGAGACUUUGAUAAAAGCAGUAUAUACACUGUACCAGCAGAGGAAUCUCCUCUUUCCUGUUCGUAUGUUGCUUUUGAAAUUUUUUAGCAGGGUUUAUCAGAAAGAAGAGUUGAGUGCUCAAAGAAUCAGGAGCCGAAGUAAAGUUUUAUCUCGUUGGCUGGCUGGCCUACCUCAGCAGCUUGCUCUCCUUGGUUCAAGAAAGCCUGAGCUUUCAAACCAGUUGAUUGAGACCAUUCAUUCUGCUGCAUCUCAUUCAAACAAGGAAUUGUUACAAAGUUUGCAAGCCACUGCUUCUCGAAUUUAUGAUCCACUAGAUGGCACUCUGGUUCUUCUUCCAGCAGAGUCACAGCAACGCUUAGUGCAGCUUGUAUACUUUCUACCAUGUUUACCAACUGACUUACUUUCUUCUCUAAGUCGCUGCUGCAUUAUGGGAAGAAUGUCUUCAGAUCUAGCUGCCACCCUCAUUGGGAUACUGCAUGUGAGAUCUUCCUUUGCUGGAUGGAAAUGCCAAGUGCAGGACAGUUCAGUGAACGAUGUGGACUACUUCAGCUUCUUGUUUUCGACACUUACAGGAUUCUCUAAAGAGGAGUUGACUAGCCUUCAGAGCAUUAGAGGAAAACCUCACAUUAGCCAGACACAGUUUUCAUCUGUCCAUCUCUACCUGACUGAUCUGGACCAAUUUUUACACCACUGGGCUGUGACAGAGGAAAGGAGAUCCAGAAGAUAAGGAGAGAGAAAGCAAAGAUCUCCACACUGGCCAAAGAAACCCUUGACCAUUGGCCUGUGGUAGACUUGGCAUUAGAACCUCCAUUGAAUCUAUAUGUGAGGCCAGACAUCUUCACCAAGAUCAUAUCUUCCAUCUAGACCCAGACUGUAUAUAACUGACCACAAGGCUAUUGAGAGGGAAGCACUAAUCGUGGUCUGACUAUCUUCAUGAAUGAUUGGGAUUCUAGUUUUGAAGUCUGUCUGAAGGAGAGUAAAAGCCUACUCUGUCUUCUGGACAAGGUUUAGCUUGUAGUGUCAAGGAAACGAUCCCCAAGGACCUUGGAAUUCCAGAUAUUCUGGACUUUCUUCAGGACGGUGUGGUCAAAGGACUCUAGCCCAGAUCUGUAGCACACUAGGGAUUGGCCAUAAGUUGUACUUUAUACGCAGGGUCCUUGGGUUCCUUGGCAGAGGAAUACUGAAAUUUCCCAAAGCAGUCAAACUGGCUAGACUUGUGGUCAGACCAGUCUUUCUGAAAUGGAUCUAGUUCUGGUGCUAAAAUCCCUAACAAUCCACCUGAACCAUUUACGUUGGUCACACCAUUCUACCUACCCAUAAAAACCUGUUUCUUGAUUGCUGUCACGUCUGCUGGAUGAGUGUUGGAGUGGCAGUUUUAUCCAUGCAGGAACCUUGUUCUGUGUUCCAUGAUGGCAAGAUAGUGUUAAGGACUUCAGAAUCUUUCUUGCUAAAGAAGAACUCAACUUUCCAUGCCUCGCAGGAGAUCAUCUUCCCGUUGUUCUAUCCAGAGACAUGGCAUCCUACAGAAAUGAUGUGACAUAAUCUGAAUGUUCAUAGAGUACUAAAGAUUGCCAUCCAGCCUACCACAUCAACAAGAAGAUUGGGCAUCAUGUUCAUAUCCUUACCCCAAAGAGUCAAUGGCUCUGGAUAUCCAAACUGUCUUUAGCCAGAUUAAUCAUAUUAUGCAUUGUAGAGGCAUGGAAUCAAAGUACACCGCACUGGGUCUUUGACAACGUCAUAGGCGGAAAGAGCCUGCAUGUCCUCUGCAGGGAUCUGCAGAGCAGCAACAUGGUCCUCUAUUAGUUCCUUCAUUAGACACUAUGAGUUGGACUUUCUGUCCUCUUCAGAGGAAUCCUUCAGCAGGAAGGUGGUAUGUCACAGCUUGUCCACUAUACCUUCACGAAGUCAGUGUUUUGACAUCCUCCAGAACGGUAUCUGUAAAUACCUGGU